GUUUUCUGAAGCAUUGCUUUAAUUAUGCCUAUAGCUAUCAUAAUAGAAUGACCUCGGUGCCUCUUCAAACUGUUCACUACUGUGAUUUGCGCACCUAACCUGCCGUAAUGAGGUGAGAAUCGAUUGUUGUGAGAUUAUUUUAUUAUGAGAUAGCAUGUUUCAAGAUUUUAAGGGACCAGAUGUUCCCUAGGAAUGGAGGUUCCUUGUAAAUAACAGCUCUAUGCAGCGUAGUGCAAGAACACAAUUUUGUUAGGAAAUUAGUUGUUAAACUGCAAAUGACUGAUAAACUAUAACCCUGUCAAAUUAAUACCCCGUUGAUCGGUCUUAAGUAAGAGUUGUAUGUAUGCUAAAUUAAUUUCCCGGCACAGACAUUAACACCAAGUGAUGCUUUUUAACCAUAGUGUUUGUCCAGUCUCGUAGCAUGUUGGGGCAUGCCCUAAACCAGCUGGCUAUCAAGGUAGACACGUAGAUGACCGCGUCUCCGUUUAAACGUUAUAGCUACGCUUUCGUUUUGCUUUGCUGUGUAGAUGACAUUCAAGAAAUAUAGUUUACUAAAAACGGGGUGGGCGCCUUCAGUGAGGUCAUGUGUUAAAUCUAUGCACGACAAUAGCUUUUUUUCUCAGUUUCUUUCAAUCACAGUAACAAAACGAAUAAUCGUUAAUUUGUCCAGAUCACGACGAAGCCUUUUUGUAUAAUUUGUUAUCGCUCAGGUUCUUUUCGGAAACCAGCCCUUAGGCGUUAGUUUAUAGCAUCUUGAUGCGUCAGUUACAAGAAAAACAACAGGAUACAGAACAGAAAAAUAACAGAAUGGCCAGGCACGCUAACUCUAAAGACAUGAUUCUUCUGCACAGUGAGAGGGGAAAGGACCCCCCAGGGACACCAGAGGGACACUACAUUUGUAAAGAGAAUGGGUUUGUGUAACAUAAAUUCAAAGCUAAACUAUAACAGAAGCUUCUAGAAAUUUACCUUUUUUGAAAACGUCUGUGAAAUUACCCGUAUUUAUGCAUAAUAAUGAAUGAGACCUAUUUAAGAUAGGUCUACUACACACACAAAAUUUUACAUGGCGUCUUCACUGAACUGGUUUAAAGAACCAAACUCAUUGAAAUGUACUGGUUUGCAUGGUUCUCCUGUUAUCUCUAGCAUGCUCAGGCUUUCAGAAGAGGCUGGCCUCCAGCGUCCUGCGCUGUGGCAAAAGAAAGUGUGGCUGGAAUCGAACGAAACGAACGAACUUGCCAACGCAAACUCCCGACAAUAAAUCCGUAAGAUGGUAAAGGACGGGCUGAUCAUUAAGAAGCCAGUGACGGUUCACUCCCGAGCCCGCUGCAGUAAGAACACGCUGGCGCGGAGGAAGGGCCGGCACAUGGGCAUCGGUACCACAGUCUUUAUUUAAAAGCAAAGGGCUACGUGUUUAAGAACAAGCGCAUAUUAAUGGAACACAUCCACAAACUCAAAGCAGAU
Electrophorus electricus (electric eel) is the source of this 1458-nucleotide long non-coding RNA. RefSeq lists it as uncharacterized. The record is from RefSeq and is a predicted model, not a curated record. Lineage: Eukaryota; Metazoa; Chordata; Actinopteri; Gymnotiformes; Gymnotidae.